GAGAAAGUUUGCAAGAACUGCUAAUUCAUGCUUCCAUGCAUAAUAGCAUGGCUUUCUUA
Molecule: transfer RNA, 59 nt
Filed under: Episoriculus umbrinus
Lineage: Eukaryota; Metazoa; Chordata; Mammalia; Eulipotyphla; Soricidae
Description: tRNA-Ser
Source: RNAcentral